RNAcentral lists this long non-coding RNA (592 nucleotides) under Citrus x clementina. RNAcentral describes it as "Citrus clementina (C. clementina) long non-coding RNA (CCLE_LNC002663)". Lineage: Eukaryota; Viridiplantae; Streptophyta; Magnoliopsida; Sapindales; Rutaceae. The record is from RNAcentral.
UAUAGUUAUUUGAUAUUAUACAAAUUUUGAAAUAGUGAAACAAUAAUAAUGGUAGAAAUAAUUCUUUAUUUUUAUUUUCUAAUCCAAGAAGAGAACACACCCUCAAUAUGAUACGGAAUUAAUUGGCUCUCAACCGACCAUGAUUUGACACCCUUAAAGGCAUCAAACUGUGUGGCCCGCAAGAAAUUGUCCAUAGUUAUAUUUAUUAAAACGUGCCUACAGGCUUCAAGCCUGCAAAAGCACUCAUUCAUGCAUUCAAACGACAGCGGUUUGGUCUGUGAUUAACAAGUGGUCAAGAAAACUUUCCUUGAAGUGUUGAGGAAACGCUAUCAAUCAACGUACACGCGGAAUAGAAAAACUUCAGCGGGUUGAGUGUGCCAUGUCAGCAUGAUUAGGAACGAAGAUAUAACAGUGGUAUUGGGUCGGCUAUCCCGUAUUUAAUUAAAAGGAAAUACUUAAUUUUGUAUUUUAUGUUUAAGUAUUGCUUUUGUAAUUUUUAUUAAUCUGCCUUUUUUAUUUCAUUGUUCUGUCUCUUUGUCCAUAAAAUUAUUUGAACAACUCAAUAAUUUGAAAAUAAAAGUCCAAUGGCUCU